UAUUCUUAACACCAAUAAUAAUAACAGUGUACUAAAAGAUUGAAAAUCUAAUGUGCUAGUUACACCAUAAGAAC
This 74-nucleotide transfer RNA is filed under the name Uroteuthis duvaucelii. RNAcentral's name for it is "tRNA-Glu". The record is from RNAcentral. Lineage: Eukaryota; Metazoa; Mollusca; Cephalopoda; Myopsida; Loliginidae.